GGGUCGAUAGAUCAGCGGUAGAUCGCUUGCUUUGCAAGCAAGAAGUCGUGGGUUCAAAUCCCACUCGAUCCACCA
This 75-nucleotide transfer RNA is filed under the name Thermoplasmatales archaeon. RNAcentral describes it as "tRNA-Ala". It matches the Rfam family "tRNA". From Rfam's summary of the family: Transfer RNA (tRNA) molecules are approximately 80 nucleotides in length. The record is from RNAcentral. Lineage: Archaea; Methanobacteriati; Thermoplasmatota; Thermoplasmata; Thermoplasmatales.